CCGAGUUUACAACUCCCAAACCCCUGUGUACAUACCUAUACGUUGCCUCGGCGGAUCAGCCCGCGCCCCGUAAAAAGGGACGGCCCGCCCGAGGACCCCUAAACUCUGUUUUUAGUGGAACUUCUGAGUAAAACAAACAAAUAAAUCA
RNAcentral lists this unclassified non-coding RNA (148 nucleotides) under soil metagenome. RNAcentral describes it as "partial internal transcribed spacer 1". The record is from RNAcentral.